RNAcentral lists this ribosomal RNA (241 nucleotides) under Attheya sp. RCC4508. RNAcentral describes it as "partial 18S ribosomal RNA". It matches the Rfam family "Eukaryotic small subunit ribosomal RNA", at positions 735 to 977 of the family's 1831-position model. The record is from RNAcentral. Lineage: Eukaryota; Bacillariophyta; Biddulphiophyceae; Attheyales; Attheyaceae.
CAGUGGCUGCCCAUCGUUUACUGUGAAAAAAUUAGAGUGUUCAAAGCAGGCUUAUGCCGUUGAAUAUAUUAGCAUGGAAUAAUAAGAUAGGACCUUGGUACUAUUUUGUUGGUUUGCGCACCGAGGUAAUGAUUAAGAGGGACAGUUGGGGGUAUUCGUAUUCAAUUGUCAGAGGUGAAAUUCUUGGAUUUCUGGAAGACGAACUACUGCGAAAGCAUUUACCAAGGAUGUUUUCAUUAAU